GACGAACGCUGGCGGCGUGCUUAACACAUGCAAGUCGAACGGAAAGGCCCUGCCUUUGUGGGGUGCUCGAGUGGCGAACGGAUGAGUAACACAUGAGUAACCUGCCCUUCACUUUGCGACUGGUUCACGAAACUGGGGCUAAUCUCAGAUAGGAUCUCCUGCUGCUGUGUGGUGGUUGGAAAGUUUCGGCGGUUGUUGAUGGGCUCGCGGCGUUUGAGCUUGUUGGUGGGGUAGUGGCUUAACAAGGCUUUGACGGGUAGCCGGCCUGAGAGGGUGACCGGCAACAUUGGGACUGAGAUACGGCGCAGACGCCUACGGGAGGGAGCAGUGGGGAAUAUUGUGAAGUGGGCGGAAGCCUGAUGCGGCGACGCCGCGUGCGGGAUGACCGCCUUCGGGUUGUGAACCGCGUUCGCCUGGGACGAAGCGUGAUUGACGGUAAUGGGUAAAGAAGCACCGGCUAACUACGUG
RNAcentral lists this ribosomal RNA (468 nucleotides) under uncultured bacterium. RNAcentral describes it as "partial 16S ribosomal RNA". It matches the Rfam family "Bacterial small subunit ribosomal RNA", at positions 28 to 507 of the family's 1533-position model. The record is from RNAcentral.